CAGGAUAUUCGCUUUGUGAUCUUCUUGAAAGAACACCUCAAAUUGGCUGAAUUAGUUUAAUGCUUUGGCCAUUUUGGUAUAUGGCUUUAAUCGGUUGAGAGUUUCAUCGGUCCUUUUUAUGCUUAUCCAUCUCUACAAUGCAAGCUUACUAAGUAGUAUCAUUUUUGCUGCAUUGCGGUCCCUGAAAAGAAGACUAGUUGAUCUUAUGAAAAACUUGGAGAAAUAUCCAUUUAUUUCAUAGAUAAUAGAAAUAUUAAAUGUUUCUCGUAAAUUCAACAGGUAAUAAAAUACAAGAGCGUAAGGGAAAGUUGGAAACAUUCACUCCCCAACAGAACCACCACCCGGGAAAAGUGAUCAGCAAUUAAAACCAGAAAAAACAGUCAUGUGUCAACCAUCUGAUCAUAACUCAAUGGUAUUGGACAUAUUACCUCCCGAUCACGCGCCGCCACGGAGUCCUGCAAUAUUGCCGGAUCUACAACGAUCAUCGACGAACAAAACAGUUCUAUUUGCAAAGUUAAGCCUAAUUUAUUUUUUUUAAUCAAUUAAUGAUGAUAUUUUAAAUUUAAAAUUAAUUUACAAUUCACAUGGCCAAAGUGAUAGAGACAGUUCUAACUUCUAAAGGUAGUCUUCCAUUGAUUCUUAGGUUAGUAAUAAGAUUUGAAACAUAAUUUAGAUUAUAGUGUCUUCUUUGCUUUACAUAAUAUGUUGAUAUGCAAUUUAAUUGAUGUUGAUGAUUGAUGUUUGUCUAAUGUUGAUAAUAAUGUCUGUAAUUUGUGGAUUCGGUAAAAGCAAAGAUGUUUUUGAAUUGAUGUUGAUGAUUGGUGUUUGUCUAAUGUUGAUAAUAAUGUCUGUAAUUUGUGGAUUCGGUAAAAGCAAAGAUGUUUUUGAAUUGAUGUUGAUGAUUGGUGUUUGUCUAAUGUUGAUAAUAAUGUCUGUAAUUUGUGGAUUCGGUAAAAGCAAAGAUGUUUUUGAAUUGAUGUUGAUGAUUGGUGUUUGUCUAAUGUUGAUAAUAAUGUUUGUAAUUUGCAAAUUCAGUCAAAGGAAAGUUGUUUUUGAAUUCGAAUGAUUUUUUCAAGCCGCUUUUUUUAUCGUGAGAAUCCUUCUGUAAACUAAUGAAGCUAGAAUAUCUGUUUCACCUCUAAAUAGAGCAAAUAAGAAUCAUCAAAAUGACCUUGCAUUGUCUUUUCGAAUUGACCAAAAUCUUUAAGAAACAGCUAAAUGGAGCUAGUCACAUUAGACUUGCCUCGCAACUCUUUAUGUAUGCAACUCAUUAAGUUAUGUGAAGCUGAUAUUCACAUGUUUUCUGUCUAUUUCGUGACUUUGAUGCUUAUGAAACAUUGAUGUAUCCAUGAUUACCUUUGCAACAAUCUUCUGCUUCUUAUAUUUGUAAGGAGAUGUGAAUCUUUCAAUAGUGCAGCCGUAGGUAUAUAAGUAUAUGUCUAUAGUGCAGGUAUACAAAUAUUUUCAGGAUAUAAUUGCUAUUUUGCAUCUCACUGUUGAACUACAAACUUAUGACAGUUAUGCGAUGCAAAUACACAAUUUCUUAGUAAAUCCAAACUUCAAGGUGCUAUGGUAUCUCACUAUUUUUUGUUCUAUGAAAAGUUACUCAUCAGAAGAUCUUAUUGACAAGAUUUAUCACAUGUGUUUGGAUCUUUAACUUGUAGUCUAAGAGAUAUAAGAAACUUCUUUAGGUGGAUAAUGUGCUUCAACUAUAAUUAGUGAAGAAAACCUAAGGUUAGUAUAUGAUAUGAAAGCAACACUUCAUUUCAAGAGUUUAGGUGGAUAAUGUCUUCCCUUAAUGUCUAAAUUUGUGAUCUUUUUCCUAAUGCUUAUGACCAGGGAAUCGACCCUUAUGCUGGAUACCAAAUGAGUUGUUUACAGUUUCACAUUUGUUGCAAUGCUUAUGCAUUUCUAAAUUAGGCAUUUAAAGACUUCAUAUAAUCUUUCCAACUCUAAGUCUAUAGUGCCUAUCCCAGAGGCUAGCGCAACACCUGUAGUUGUGGUGCCUGUGAAUCAUGGAUCCAAACAUGCUGAUAUUGGACAACGCAGCACCAGGUAGCCCUUCUAUGUUUCUGAGGUAAAAGCACUUGUUCGAGCAGUAGAGAAACUCGAAACUAGAAGGUGGCGUGAUGUUAAAUUGUUUGCCUUUGAGAAUGCGAAGCAUAAAACCUACAUUGAUUUGAAGGAAACUGAUUGCUACAACUUCAUUCUCAAACUUAAUACAGCUUGUGUCUUCCUUAGGUGAUUUCAGUAUUUCACAACAAGCAUAGAUUGCAGUAUGCAGUAUAAUGAACAAGAGCAUAUAGUACUUGAUAGAAAUGAAUGGUAGAUGAGAAUAUUUUUGCACCAUUACAACAUCUGAAUUUUUUGUUCAUGUAGCCAACCAUAUUAGCUUGGGAGUAAGGUUUGCCUUCUUGUUAUUAGAGUUGUUGUAUUCUGAGGGAUGGAUCAUCUUCAAAUAUUGAGCUUUCACCAGGUAUAGGAAUUAAACGUAUCUUAUUCAAGAUUUGUAAAAAAAUAAAUGGUUUCCCUAUAUUGAGCGUUGAAUCAUGUUGGUUUGCUUAUAUCAAGCAUUUUCAUUUGCUAUUCACCUAUCAUUAGGGUUAUUUAUAUCUAUCCUCAUUGUGUCUGUUAAUGUAGUGGGGCAAGUGCACAUGAUUUAAAGAGUGCCUUGCCCAUAGAACAUCAGCUACUACAGUAGGAUCUUCUGUCUCAGAAACACAGCCUGCCCUGGCUCUUUUCAAUAUCUCCAUCUUAAUUUCUUUCUUCUCGUUUUUUUCGAUUCCUUCCCCUAUCUCUUCCUCCACGGCCAAUCUACUAUCCACCCAAUAACCAUAUUAUUUGACAAGCUUUCAUCCUCUUCUCUUCCUACACCUUCACAUAUAUCUAUGUUUGUACUUACUCUUAUCUGACAUAAUUCUCUACACUCAGCCUCUAUUCUUUGUAAUUGCACGAGCUUCUUAAUUAACCCAUAUUUAAUCAUGGACUCGACUACUUCCUCACAGCAUCAAUGCAGCAUUGUAUAAGCUUGUACAGGAUCAAACCAGCAACACCAACUUGUUAAAACAACAUGUAUGGGUAUUUGGCAUAAAUGUUGAACGCUCGCACUAAUUAAUGUUUUUGUUUACAAUCCUAAAAAUUCAUUUCAUUCUUUAUAUUGGAUUUGGCGCAUUAUUUUCGGUUUGUGAUCAUUUUGCCUUUGAUACUAGGCAUAUUUCUAUUUAUCAGUGUAGAAUUAUUGAUUACUCUGACACUGUAGACAUGAAGGAAAAGUAUUCUACUUUGCAUGAAUUAACAAACACAUCAGCAGUACAUAAAGUUAAAAUCAAGGUCAUUGAGAAGUCCAGAGCGUUUCAAUCACGAGGCAAAAAGAAAUACCAACGCCUUCUACUGCAAGAUGAAAAGGGUGAUGUUAUGAGAGCAACCUCUUCGAAAAUGACAUACAAGCAUAUGAUUCUUUAAUUCAACAAAAUCAUGAGUAUCUGAUUUCGAAUCCUACAAUUAAGGCCAUCGAUGAAAAGUACCAAACCAGAACUGGGGAAUAUCAAAUGACAUUUAGUAAGCGGACUGUAAUUCAAGCCAUUGGUUCCUCUUCCAACGCUUCUGGUCCAGUCUAUCAUUCAAUAGCAACUAUUCCUAGAACAAUAUAAUUGAUGUUGUUCUUUUCAUUGGAGAUAAGCCCAUGGUAAAAGGUGCAUUUGAGCAACAAAACAGCGUGUCAGAAAUUAUUAUCACUGAUCAUAGCUCACAUUAACCCUUAAUUGUGUCGGCAUGGAAUGAUAUGGCAGACUUCUUUAAAACAAAGCCUCCUGAAAAUCAAAUCGUUGGUUUCACAUCUCUAAGGGUUACAUCUCACAAGGGUUUUGGCCUAUCAACUACGAUGUCGUCUUUAAUCAUUCCAACACCAACUGGUGACAAGGCAGAUUCCCUAAGCCACUGGGCCUUUUCUCAUGGAUCCUUUCUUUGCGAGCGCAAAACACAAAUCCUGAAGACCCGCAUGCCCUUAAACCAAAGGCAGCAAACCACAAUUGCCUUCAUCAAAAGCAAGACGCAAAUACUAUCCAAGAAGAGCGAUAUUGGAUAAAAGCAUUGCUCGAGAAUUGUAGCUACAAUGAUAUAAGAAAAUUUAUAGGGUGUGAUCAAUGCACUAAAAAGACAGACAAUAAAGGAAUAAAGUUUUUGAAUGUCCAUGGUGCCACAAGAAAGAGAGCGUCGCUAAGCCACGAUUAGCGCUCACUUUCGACGCCCACGAUAGCACGGGCUCUAUCCAACUACUGCAUUCAAUGACACCAUAGCAGAACUCUUUGGAAAAACUAUCGAUGAACUAUAUAGUCCAACUACUUAUGAACAUAUUGAAUCUUAUCAAGACAUUGCUCAAUCCUUACGAGUGAAACCGAUUGAGAUACAGCUGGUUCCAAUUGUCACUCUCUCUAAAAGUGGUGUGCCAAACUGGGUUCUAAAAUCGAUUGCAAUUGCACCAGAUACUUCAACUAAUCCACAACACUUGGCCUGCAAGUCGCCCGAGACUCAUUCAUCACAAGAAAGUGUACCCGCUUAACUAAUUGAUGAUACUUCUUUACAUACUCAAGAACCAUCAUUUGCAUCAGAUAAAGUAGAGACUGAUACUCAUUCAUCAGAGCAAAUUGUACCAGCUCCAUUGACUAUUGCUCCUUCAAAUGAUCCACAACCGUCAUCUGCAUCAAAGAAAGUAGGGACAGUGAAGCGCAGUUUAGAUUUUUCGGAUGCAACCACUUCUUCCGAAGUAUUGGACUUCAACGCUUGAGUUGUCUACGAUGUUAGCUUUUGAAACACUAUCUUAAAUAUUAUUUCCUUUUUGGAACACUUGUUUGGCAACUCCAAUUAUAGGAGCUCUAACUUUUCAUGCUAACUCACCACAACCAUGUUCAUUUUACUUAACUAUUUAUUAAACAUGUAGUACUAUCUUUGCUUUUGUAUUACAACUUUAUAUGGGGACACUUCAAUUGAAUACAAAGCCUUACCACUUCUUGGAUGAUCA
Molecule: long non-coding RNA, 5017 nt
Organism: Amaranthus tricolor (Joseph's coat)
Lineage: Eukaryota; Viridiplantae; Streptophyta; Magnoliopsida; Caryophyllales; Amaranthaceae
Exons: 13
Source: RefSeq, a predicted model, not a curated record